AUAAUUAGUCGAAUGCAUUGGAUUGUGACACAUUUUGACCAUAGAAACGCUAACAAAGC
Molecule: small RNA, 59 nt
Filed under: Arabidopsis thaliana (thale cress)
Lineage: Eukaryota; Viridiplantae; Streptophyta; Magnoliopsida; Brassicales; Brassicaceae
Description: ATSL204510
Source: RNAcentral